Molecule: ribosomal RNA, 303 nt
Filed under: uncultured bacterium
Lineage: Bacteria
Description: partial 16S ribosomal RNA
Rfam family: Bacterial small subunit ribosomal RNA
Source: RNAcentral
AGCAGUAGCCGCGGGAAUACGUAGGUCCCGAGCGUUGUCCGGAUUUAUUGGGCGUAAAGCGAGCGCAGGCGGUUAGAUAAGUCUGAAGUUAAAGGCUGUGGCUUAACCAUAGUACGCUUUGGAAACUGUUUAACUUGAGUGCAGAAGGGGAGAGUGGAAUUCCAUGUGUAGCGGUGAAAUGCGUAGAUAUAUGGAGGAACACAGGUGGCGAAAGCGGCUCUCUGGUCUGUAACUGACGCUGAGGCUCGAAAGCGUGGGGAGCAAACAGGAUUAGAUACCCCCGUAGUCCCUGUCUCUUAUACA